This is a long non-coding RNA of Orcinus orca (killer whale), 1548 nucleotides long. RefSeq lists it as uncharacterized. Lineage: Eukaryota; Metazoa; Chordata; Mammalia; Artiodactyla; Delphinidae. The record is from RefSeq and is a predicted model, not a curated record. The transcript has 2 exons.
AUUGGGAAGCCUUGUACCUCCAGGCAGUGGGAACCUGGGUUCUCGUUAUUGUUAUUCUCAGUGGACAUUUUAGCGAUCCUGACUCCUCUUGCAUAAACAUUGAGCGGGAACUUUGCAUUUAUAAUUCCAUUUGGAACCACUGCCCUUCAGAUUGCAAAGGGCUCUGUUAUCUCACUGAUGCUCACAAAGGCCCAGAGAGAGGCUAGGAGGUGCAGCUUUCCCCUCUAUUACAGGGGAGGGGACUGAAGCCCAGAGAGGGGAAAAGACUCAUCCAGGGUCACACAGAGUAAGUAAGCAUCACAGCCAGAACUAGAUCAAAGCCUCUUGUUACCUCUUAGCACCUCCCUUAUACAGGUUCACUGUCCAGCAUCAGAUCAGAAGCCCAGAGCAGCUGCUGCAGCCGUUGACCUCAGAUGAGAAGAGUAUUCCUUUAACUUGAAAAGGCAGAGUCGGGCACUAAUUCAUGAUGGAGUUAUAUUUCCACUUAAGUACUUGCAUUUAAAAAAUAGACUGGUGAGAUGAGAGCUUUCACUCCCAUGAUCCAGUUAUCUCUGUUAGGAGCCCACAUCUCCCAUUUGCCCAUUCUCUCCAAUCCUUCUAGCUCUUUCUAGCUCUUUCUACUUUCUCCUCCUAUAUACCUUUAGACCCGAUUCAUAUUUGUGUUCUUCCACGUGUCGCCAUUUUUACUUUCUGGUUUUAUAAUCUCUGCUGGCAACCUAUGGAUGGAAAUUGCAUUGAUCACAAUAUUCAAUACACAUCAGCCACCUACCAGGAUCUCUAAAACCUGGGAAUGGACUAUGAAAGGCAUUGUAACAUUAGUAGAAGGAACACAGGCAUUAGAAACGGAGUAGGAUAUGUUAUUUCCUAGCUGAGUAGCUUUAUUCAGUUACUUAGUGCAUUGAAGUCUGUUAUUACAUUUGUUAAUAGAAAUAAUACAUGUUUCUCAAAAGUUACUUUGAAAUAGUACAUGUGAUUUUGUUAACUAUAGCUUGCUAGGCAGAUUGUAAAAUACAAGUGACUACAAGAGGACUGUUCUUACAUCAGUGAUGAUAGUGGCAAAGGCAAAGAUUAUGAAUAAUCCAGUUCUACACAGCUGAGCUCCAUUUAAAACAAUUUUAAAGACUGCAGUGUUUUGGAAGUGUCAAUUCUUAGUUCUUAAUUUAUUCAUUCAAUAAAUUUUGUUGAGUACCUUCAAAAAAAUAAAAUAAAAAUAGACUGGAAGCAGCCCAAAUGUCCAUCAUUGCAGGUACUGAUCAAAUAAACUAUGGCCCUCCCUACAAUUUGUUACCACUCCAGUAAUCUACUGUGGGGUAGACCUAGUGGCUUAAAACAACAGCAGUCAUUUUAUUCUUUCUCAAGGUUAUGAGUUGACUGGGCUCAGCUAAGCAGGCCUCACUCAAAGUCUCUCAUGCAGGUAUAAUCAGACAGUGGCUGGAACUGGAGUCAUCUUGAAGACUUACUCUCAUGUCUACUGAUUGGUGCUGGUUGUAAGCUGGGACUCUCAGCAGACUUUUCUGUAUAUGCACACGUAAACAGGAACUUGCUAUA